GGAUGAGAUUGAGAGAGAGGAUGAGAGGGGAGGAUGAGAGGAAGGAGUAACAAAAGUGAAAUAAAAAAACUUGAAAGUGAAAACAAGUUGAAAUAGAUUUCAGUUUUUAGUUUUUGUUUUCACUUUUGUUACUCCUCUCUCCCAUCCUCUCCUCUCAUCUUCCCGCUCAAUCCCAUCU
RNAcentral lists this microRNA precursor (178 nucleotides) under Prunus dulcis (almond). RNAcentral's name for it is "sRNA ncRNA". Lineage: Eukaryota; Viridiplantae; Streptophyta; Magnoliopsida; Rosales; Rosaceae. The record is from RNAcentral.